Molecule: long non-coding RNA, 1056 nt
Filed under: Homo sapiens (human)
Lineage: Eukaryota; Metazoa; Chordata; Mammalia; Primates; Hominidae
Description: non-protein coding lnc-KANK4-7:2
Source: RNAcentral
AUGGCGGCCGCCUGGCCGUCUGGUCCGUCUGCUCCGGAGGCCGUGACGGCCAGACUCGUUGGUGUCCUGUGGUUCGUCUCAGUCACUACAGGACCCUGGGGGGCUGUUGCCACCUCCGCCGGGGGCGAGGAGUCGCUUAAGUGCGAGGACCUCAAAGUGGGACAAUAUAUUUGUAAAGAUCCAAAAAUAAAUGACGCUACGCAAGAACCAGUUAACUGUACAAACUACACAGCUCAUGUUUCCUGUUUUCCAGCACCCAACAUAACUUGUAAGGAUUCCAGUGGCAAUGAAACACAUUUUACUGGGAACGAAGUUGGUUUUUUCAAGCCCAUAUCUUGCCGAAAUGUAAAUGGCUAUUCCUACAAAGUGGCAGUCGCAUUGUCUCUUUUUCUUGGAUGGUUGGGAGCAGAUCGAUUUUACCUUGGAUACCCUGCUUUGGGUUUGUUAAAGUUUUGCACUGUAGGGUUUUGUGGAAUUGGGAGCCUAAUUGAUUUCAUUCUUAUUUCAAUGCAGGUAAGUUUCUCAAUCUAGAAUGUAAACUACUUUUACAUUCAAAAUUGAGUUCUGUGAUCUCCUGUUCUAUUUAAAAUGUUUAGUAUACGAGGAAGCAGAGAAGAAUGGUUGUUUCCAUUUUUCUUCAUGUACUAGAUCUAAGGAAUCCUGGUCAUGUUUCCAACUAGCAUUUCUCAAACUGUGCUCUACCAGUUAGUAGUUCUCAAAGACAUAAGAAGUUCAUUAAAAAAUAUCCCGUGCUCAAAUAUGAUUUGUAAAUGUGAGUUCAAUUGAGUUAAAGAAGUUUCUUUACUGAAUAAGUUCUCAAAAUCUUUUUAAUAUAUGUUGUCUCUAAGAGGGAUUGUGGUUAUUUUUCAAACCCGUUUCUUUUCCUCAUAGUCACUGUCACCUUGUCAAUUACCAUAAAAGCAUUGAUAGGAUUCUGUUAUACAUAUGGGCAUUGUGGAAGCAGAGACAAGAUUUUCUUUUGCACUGGACAGGCACUCCAUACUAGUAUUGUGUUGUUUGCAAAUUACAGAAACUGAAAUCCAGCUAGCUUAAGCU